Molecule: long non-coding RNA, 616 nt
Filed under: Phoenix dactylifera (date palm)
Lineage: Eukaryota; Viridiplantae; Streptophyta; Magnoliopsida; Arecales; Arecaceae
Description: long non-coding RNA (PDAC_LNC017528)
Source: RNAcentral
GGAAGAGGGAGAGACACGAGCGAAGGGGAGGCCGAAGCCUCUGGAAGCUCCCGGAAGAAGAAAAAAAAAGAGAAAGGAGGGCCUUAACGGGCUAGCGGGUCGGAUCCAAGUCCAGAUCCGAAACCCGUUAGGCCCAAAUGAUUCAAUCGGUUUGGGUGAGCCCAAUGUAGGGUUGAUCCAAGCCCAAUUGAAUUAAACGGAUCAAUUAAGCCUAAUUGAUGUUGGGUCUGAACCCGACCAAGCCUGAAUGAACCCAAAUCAAGCAAAUUGGGCCAAAUUUGAACCCAAUUAAGUUGGAUUAGAUCCAGCAGACCCAAUUGAAUAUAGAUCAGGCCCAAUUUAAGCCCAAUUAUAUUGGCAGAAGGCCAAAUUGGCUAGAAAAAAAAAGGGUGACUAACAUCCGACCCAACCCUUUCUUUAAAGGCCCAAUUAGGCCUUGUAGAACCAAAUCUACUUUAAUUAAACCCAAAGGCUUCAAGAUGGGUGAAUUGAACUGGGCUAAAUCCUUGGUUAGGAUACAAACAAGUCCAUGGUAGGAUGAACGAAAUUUAUGAUUAGAGGAUAAUGUGGGUCUUGCAAUGUGAUUUUAGGAAUCAAAGACCCGUCGUCCGAACCC